This 335-nucleotide unclassified non-coding RNA is filed under the name Hevea brasiliensis (rubber tree). The record is from RNAcentral. Lineage: Eukaryota; Viridiplantae; Streptophyta; Magnoliopsida; Malpighiales; Euphorbiaceae.
UCUUGCUGUAGUAGAAUGCUUGGUCUUACAUAUGAAUCCAAGAGGGGUUACAUAGGCCUUGAGUAUUGUGGUAGGACUGUAAGCAUCAAAAUUCUGCCAGUUGGUAUUCAUAUGGGUCAGCUUCAGUCAGUGCUGAGGCUUCCAGAGACUGAAGCAAAGGUUGUGGAGCUCAUUAAGCAGUUCGAUGAUCAGGGCCGGACAAUGUUGCUAGGAGUGGAUGAUAUGGAUAUUUUUAAGGGUAUAAGUUUGAAGUUGCUGGCAAUGGAACAGUUGCUUGUGCAGCAUCCAGAAUGGCGAGGCAAGGUAGUGUUGGUGCAGAUAGCAAAUCCUGCAAG